This 632-nucleotide ribosomal RNA is filed under the name uncultured Actinomycetes bacterium. RNAcentral describes it as "bacterial SSU rRNA". It matches the Rfam family "Bacterial small subunit ribosomal RNA", at positions 232 to 885 of the family's 1533-position model. The record is from RNAcentral. Lineage: Bacteria; Bacillati; Actinomycetota; Actinomycetes.
CGCGGCCUAUCAGCUUGUUGGUGGGGUAACGGCCUACCAAGGCGUCGACGGGUAGCUGGUCUGAGAGGAUGAUCAGCCACACUGGGACUGAGACACGGCCCAGACUCCUACGGGAGGCAGCAGUAGGGAAUCUUGCGCAAUGGGCGAAAGCCUGACGCAGCAACGCCGCGUGCGGGAAGAAGGCCCUCGGGUUGUAAACCGCUUUUGGCAGGAACGAAAAUGACGGUACCUGCAGAAUAAGGUGCGGCCAACUACGUGCCAGCAGCCGCGGUGACACGUAGGCACCAAGCGUUGUCCGGAUUUAUUGGGCGUAAAGAGCUCGUAGGCGGUUCAGUGAGUCGGGUGUGAAAACUCUGGGCUUAACCCGGAGACGCCACCCGAUACUGCUGAACUCGAGUUCGGUAGGGGAGCGGGGAAUUCCCGGAGUAGCGGUGAAAUGCGCAGAUACCGGGAGGAACGCCGAUGGCGAAGGCAGCCACCUGGUCCACACCUGACGCUGAGGCGCGAAAGCGUGGGGAGCAAACCGGAUUAGAUACCCGGGUAGUCCACGCCCUAAACGAUGCGCGCUAGGUCUUUGGGGUAUACCUGGGGGCCGAAGCUAACGCGUUAAGCGCCCCGCCUGGGGAGUACGG